This 1003-nucleotide long non-coding RNA is filed under the name Anas platyrhynchos platyrhynchos (common mallard). Its description in RNAcentral is "lncRNA (ENSAPLG00000028859.1)". Lineage: Eukaryota; Metazoa; Chordata; Aves; Anseriformes; Anatidae. The record is from RNAcentral.
CCAUGCAUGGCCCAUGACUGCAGACAAGUUAUUGUGUGGUCUUCUCCUGCAUGCUCUCACAGGCAUGUAGCAAAUGUCUCCUGAAGGGAGCUCCUUAGGACUGGUCUGCCUCGGGUUGCUCUCUGUAGUGGAAGCAAUUUGAAAAGACAGUGUUUUUGGAAAGAAAGACACAAAAGCCGAAAGCAGCCCAGGCUCCCUGGUGGUGUCUCAUCAUGAAAUUCACCUGGCAAAGGACAAAGAGUGUGAUGGGAGUUUGGUUUGGGACAUCUUUAUUUUAAUCAGCAAAGGGGCAGGGAAGGGGUCUGUAUUCCCAGGCAAUCUUACUCCCAAGGGCUUAUUCUCAGGAGUGUGGUGUCUGACGGCAAAACAGCAGCAACUUCUUACAAUUCAGAGGCUGCUGUGUGAACAGAUGUGUGGGGAGCCAGCUUGCCAUUGGACUUGGGAUGCAGCAGAUUUGAGGUCUAGAGGAUGGUUCUGGGACCACAGAGAUCGCACGCAACACAGACACCCUCAGUGGCACUGCUUGGUGACAGAAGACGUUCACAGACUCUUCUAGAUACAGAAGGUCAAUGGGCAAAUGGCAAAACACCAGAAAGGCCAAAGAAUGAAGGGGGCAUCAGCCUGGGAGGACUUUUGUUUUUCAUGAAGCUGUGUUUCUGGUAGUGAAAGCACAACAUUUAUGAUGUGUGUAGGACUAAGAUUAGUGUGGGAUUUUCAGAACUGGUGGAGUGCCCCACCUGACCUCUGUUGGAUAUUCAGAAUGAGGUAGGUGGAGAUUGUUUUUCAUAGGUCCUGACCUAUAUCUGAAAGGUCCCUGAGGAUGCUAACGAUACCCUAGGAAGUCUAAACUGGGUUAUGCUUAAGCAUUUGGCUCCUGCCUGUGUUUUAAGACAGUGUCUCCGUGACUAUCUUGUUUCAGGUCCUGCUGGAUAAUAGAGACAGGUCAAUAGCUAGAGAAGAAAUCUUUGGCCAGAAACCUAAAAUACUCUUGUGACAGGAGUAU